RNAcentral lists this signal recognition particle RNA (305 nucleotides) under Octodon degus (degu). Its description in RNAcentral is "Metazoan signal recognition particle RNA (ENSODEG00000025853.1)". It matches the Rfam family "Metazoan signal recognition particle RNA". From Rfam's summary of the family: The signal recognition particle (SRP) is a universally conserved ribonucleoprotein. It is involved in the co-translational targeting of proteins to membranes. The eukaryotic SRP consists of a 300-nucleotide 7S RNA and six proteins: SRPs 72, 68, 54, 19, 14, and 9. The record is from RNAcentral. Lineage: Eukaryota; Metazoa; Chordata; Mammalia; Rodentia; Octodontidae.
UCUGUGGUGGCAUUCGCCUAAAGUCCCAGCUACUAGGGAGGCUGAGGUUGGAGAAUUACUUGAGUCCAGGAGUUCUGGGCUGCAAUGUGCUAUGCCAGUUGUGUGUCCACAAUAAGUUCGGCAUCAAUGUGGUGCCCUCCCCAGAGUGGGGGACCACCACGUUGCCUAAGGAGGGGUGAACUGGCCCAGAUCAGAAACACAGCAGGUCAAAAUUCCUGUGCUGAUCCAGUUUUUUCUAUGGUACUGUCUCCUGCAUUUGUUUUGCUUGGGCUCAGGACCUGAGAAUGCAUUUUGUUCCUUCUCUU